RNAcentral lists this ribosomal RNA (301 nucleotides) under uncultured bacterium. RNAcentral's name for it is "partial 16S ribosomal RNA". It matches the Rfam family "Bacterial small subunit ribosomal RNA", at positions 509 to 807 of the family's 1533-position model. The record is from RNAcentral.
CAGUAGCCACGGUAAUACGAAGGGUGCAAGCGUUAAUCGGAAUUACUGGGCGUAAAGCGUGCGUAGGCGGUUUGUUAAGUCUGCUGUGAAAUCCCCGGGCUCAACCUGGGAAUGGCAGUGGAUACUGGCAAGCUAGAGUGUGUCAGAGGAUGGUGGAAUUCCCGGUGUAGCGGUGAAAUGCGUAGAGAUCGGGAGGAACAUCAGUGGCGAAGGCGGCCAUCUGGGACAACACUGACGCUGAGGCACGAAAGCGUGGGGAGCGAACAGGAUUAGAUACCCCUGUAGUCCCUGUCUCUUAUAC